This 56-nucleotide transfer RNA is filed under the name Allodiplogaster sudhausi. RNAcentral's name for it is "tRNA-Asp". The record is from RNAcentral. Lineage: Eukaryota; Metazoa; Nematoda; Chromadorea; Rhabditida; Diplogasteridae.
AAAGUUUUAGUAUAUUUUUAGUAUAUUUCAUUGUCAAUGAAAAGGUUAAAACUUUA